This 325-nucleotide long non-coding RNA is filed under the name Panax ginseng (ginseng). RNAcentral describes it as "long non-coding RNA (PGIN_LNC018184)". The record is from RNAcentral. Lineage: Eukaryota; Viridiplantae; Streptophyta; Magnoliopsida; Apiales; Araliaceae.
UUCAAUUAGGUAUAGCACAACAAUUAAAGGUCUAUAAAAAUAAUCUCAUUAUCAAAAGGAGAUUUAGAUUGAAGAGUACUAAGUUUCAAAUUUUAGAAGUGCAAAAAAAUGAAGUCCAUAUAAGCACCUAUUUCUCUGUUUUUCAUCUUUGUAAUCCACUCGCGGAUAACAUCCUGCAAUGUCCUCCCCAUCUGCCUGAUACACCUUUCUGUGAUCUACAAUACAUGCAAAAUGUGAGUUCUCGUGGAUGGUUAAAUAUAUCAGAGCCAAAGCGUGGUCACAUUUGUCAAACUAGAAAUUUAGGCAAAUUCAGAGAAAAGCAAUG